GAUGAACGCUGGCGGCGUGCCUAAUACAUGCAAGUCGAGCGAACAGACGAGGACCUUGCUCCUCUGACGUUAGCGGCGGACGGGUGAGUAACACGUGGAUAACCUACCUAUAAGACUGGGAUAACUUCGUGAAACCGAAGCUAAUACCGGCUAAUCUAUUGAACGGCAUGGUUCAAGAGUGUAAGACGGUUUUGCUGUCCCCUACCGAUGGGCCCGCGCCGCAUUAGCUAGUUGGUAAGGUAUCGGCUUACCAAGGCAACGAUGCGUAACCAACCUGAGAGGGUGAUCGGCCACAGUGGGACUGAGACACGGUCCAGACUCCUACGGGAGGCAGCGGUAGGGACUCUUGCGCGAUGGGCGAAAGCCUGACGGAGCAACGCCGCGUGGGUGAUGAAGGUCUUCGGGUGGUAAGACUCUGUUAUUAUGGAAGAACAAAUGUGUAAGUAACUAUGCACGUCUUGACGGUACCUAAACAGAAAGCCACGGCUAACUACGUG
This 497-nucleotide ribosomal RNA is filed under the name uncultured bacterium. RNAcentral's name for it is "partial 16S ribosomal RNA". It matches the Rfam family "Bacterial small subunit ribosomal RNA", at positions 28 to 507 of the family's 1533-position model. The record is from RNAcentral.